GCAAUUUGUACAAAAAGUGCAUGUACAAAUUUCAAUUUGUACAAAAAUGGACAAAAAAUCACUUAUAACUUGUACAAUAAUUUAUCAUAUGGAUUUUGGUGAAAAAAAAGCAUUGAUACACAUAAUUGAAUUGAUAUUAAAUGACCACACAGUACACCUUAGUUACAAAAUUCAAAAGUAUUCUUUAUCAUUCUUUGAGCAGGCGAUCUAGUGAUUUAUGGAAUCGGGUAUUGCACAACAUCUUUUGACUCUCAAAUCGAUGACGACCUGUUUUAGAGGCAUUUUAACUGCUUCACAUAGCGAACGUUAAAGCUCAGGAACCGUUGCUAUGAAUACAAACAUGUGUAUUUCACUGCUUCAGUUCGACUUAUAGACAAA
RNAcentral lists this long non-coding RNA (378 nucleotides) under Mytilus galloprovincialis (Mediterranean mussel). Lineage: Eukaryota; Metazoa; Mollusca; Bivalvia; Mytilida; Mytilidae. The record is from RNAcentral.